UUUAUGUUUUGAAUUGCGGGAUAAAAAGGGCGACAUUAAAUUGUUUGACGAUGUCAACAUCUUUUCGUCAAAACAAACAGGGAAUACGGAAAGAUUAUAGAACACUUCUGAUUGUCGAUCCACUGAUGUUGACACGAGACAUAACGGACUCGGAAAUCUAACUGUAUGAAGACAGUGAGACCUUGUAAAACUCCGCCAUGAUUUUUAGACUUUUCUUGUUACUUAUGAUCUUUUCUAUGAUUUCAGUAGAGAGGGGUCAAGCUGCUGUGAACGGACACACAGUGUUGAAGCACUUGGUCAAGAGAUGGGACCAGGAAAUGUUCGGCUGCCACUGCGCCUUCACGGUCCACUGCACGAGUGACGACAAUUGUCAUCAGCACGGCCACCAUUACCGCUGUAUAGCCGACUGUUGCGGAAUGAAAUGUCACCCGACCGCCGGAAGUUAUCAUAUUCACCAUGGGUAAGCGAAGAAAAAGACGAAGAUGUGCAUUAAGAAGUAUAUAGACCAACAAGUAUUUUGUUGAUUAGAGAUUUGCAUAUCUUACAUUCUCAAACAUGUAAUCUAUAUAUUUAAUAAAGAAUGAUUUUAUAUUAAUAA
Saccostrea cuccullata (small rock oyster) is the source of this 598-nucleotide long non-coding RNA. RefSeq lists it as uncharacterized. The transcript has 3 exons. NCBI's taxonomy places the organism in Eukaryota, Metazoa, Mollusca, Bivalvia, Ostreida, Ostreidae. The record is from RefSeq and is a predicted model, not a curated record.